AGGCAAUAGAAGAUUGUCGCAGGACACACCACAUUCUUGACCAGGUGUUGCGACCAUUAUUUAAGCACUGAAAAAAGUACAUUGCAGUCAGUAUAAGCCAUGCUAUUCUGAUAGUUUUAGAAUGUAUGUAUUAUAUUAUAUUAUGUACCUGUACAUCUAAGAACCCCUUCAUGUUAUCCUCUCCAAUGCUAUCAGGCCGUGCGGCAAGUCGGCAACACACCUGCCCCCAUAGAGCCAGCUCAGGUGYGUGAACUUCUUCUGUUGAUACAGUUGAGGCUGAGAAACUGGCACCAACAAGGCCUAGCAACAGAAAAUGAAUGAUGCAAAUUAGCAAUUGAGCCAUGAAGAUAGAUAGUGAUACUUUCACAUGCUUGGGAAUUGAUAAUAACAGUAAACGCCAUGAAACUCCUCUGCAAAUGGUAAGACCUUCACAUGGCUCGGAUGACCACGUUAAUGGUGGUCCCCUCCCUAAUUAACUAGAGACGUUAAAAAACGAUCAUGAGUUUAUCAGCUGAA
This is a long non-coding RNA of Actinia tenebrosa (Australian red waratah sea anemone), 516 nucleotides long. RefSeq lists it as uncharacterized. The record is from RefSeq and is a predicted model, not a curated record. Lineage: Eukaryota; Metazoa; Cnidaria; Anthozoa; Actiniaria; Actiniidae.